Molecule: ribosomal RNA, 253 nt
Filed under: uncultured bacterium
Lineage: Bacteria
Description: partial 16S ribosomal RNA
Rfam family: Bacterial small subunit ribosomal RNA
Source: RNAcentral
UACGUAGGGCGCAAGCGUUAUCCGGCAUUAUUGGGCGUAAAGAGCUCGUAGGCGGUUUGUCGCGUCUGCCGUGAAAGUCCGGGGCUCAACUCCGGAUCUGCGGUGGGUACGGGCAGACUAGAGUGAUGUAGGGGAGACUGGAAUUCCUGGUGUAGCGGUGAAAUGCGCAGAUAUCAGGAGGAACACCGGUGGCGAAGGCGGGUCUCUGGGCCGAUACUGACGCUGAGGAGCGAAAGCGUGGGGAGCGAACAGG